GACGAACGCUGGCGGCGUGCCUAAUACAUGCCAGUAGAACGCACAGUUUAUACCGUAGCUUGCUACACCAUAGACUGUGAGUUGCGAACGGGUGAGUAGCGCGUAGGUAACCUGCCUGGUAGCGGGGGAUAACUAUUGGAAACGAUAGCUAAUACCGCAUAAUAUUAAUUAUUGCAUGAUAAUUAAUUGAAAGGUGCAAUUGCACCACUACCAGAUGGACCUGCGUUGUAUUAGCUAGUAGGUGAGGUAACGGCUCACCUAGGCGACGAUACAUAGCCGACCUGAGAGGGUGAUCGGCCACACUGGGGCUGAGACACGGCCCAGACUCCUACGGGAGGCAGCAGUAGGGAAUCUUCGGCAAUGGACGAAAGUCUGACCGAGCAACGCCGCGUGAGUGAAGAAGGGUUUCGGAUCGUAAAGCUCUGUUGUAAGAGAAGAACGGGUGUGAGAGUGGAAAGUUCACACUGUGACGGUAUCUUACCAGAAAGGGACGGCUAACUACGUG
Molecule: ribosomal RNA, 505 nt
Filed under: uncultured bacterium
Lineage: Bacteria
Description: partial 16S ribosomal RNA
Rfam family: Bacterial small subunit ribosomal RNA
Source: RNAcentral